Molecule: ribosomal RNA, 867 nt
Filed under: uncultured marine bacterium
Lineage: Bacteria
Description: bacterial SSU rRNA
Rfam family: Bacterial small subunit ribosomal RNA
Source: RNAcentral
CUGGCGGCAGGCCUAACACAUGCAAGUCGAGCGCGCCUUCGGGUGAGCGGCGGACGGGUUAGUAACGCGUGGGAACGUGCCCUUCUCUACGGAAUAGCCUCUGGAAACGGAGAGUAAUACUGUAUACGCCCUUUGGGGGAAAGAUUUAUCGGAGAAGGAUCGGCCCGCGUUAGAUUAGGUAGUUGGUGGGGUAACGGCCUACCAAGCCUACGAUCUAUAGCUGGUUUUAGAGGAUGAUCAGCAACACUGGGACUGAGACACGGCCCAGACUCCUACGGGAGGCAGCAGUGGGGAAUCUUAGACAAUGGGGGCAACCCCGAUCUAGCCAUGCCGCGUGAGUGAUGAAGGCCUUAGGGUCGUAAAGCUCUUUCGCCUGUGAUGAUAAUGACAGUAGCAGGUAAAGAAACCCCGGCUAACUCCGUGCCAGCAGCCGCGGUAAUACGGAGGGGGUUAGCGUUGUUCGGAAUUACUGGGCGUAAAGCGCGCGUAGGCGGAUUAGAAAGUUGGGGGUGAAAUCCCGGGGCUCAACCCCGGAACUGCCUCCAAAACUGCUAGUCUAGAGUUCGAGAGAGGUGAGUGGAAUUCCGAGUGUAGAGGUGAAAUUCGUAGAUAUUCGGAGGAACACCAGUGGCGAAGGCGGCUCACUGGCUCGAUACUGACGCUGAGGUGCGAAAGUGUGGGGAGCAAACAGGAUUAGAUACCCUGGUAGUCCACACCGUAAACGAUGAAUGCCAGUCGUCGGAUAGUAUACUAUUCGGUGACACACCUAACGGAUUAAGCAUUCCGCCUGGGGAGUACGGUCGCAAGAUUAAAACUCAAAGGAAUUGACGGGGGCCCGCACAAGCGGUGGAGCAUGUGGUUUAAUUC